AGACGUCUACAUUAGAUACCCGCGUAGUCCCAGCCGUAAACGAUGCGCGUUAGGUGUAUCGGUGACCACGAGUUACCGAGGUGCCGAAGGGAAACCGUGAAACGCGCCGCCUGGGAAGCACGGUCGCAAGGCUGAAACUUAAAGGAAUUGGCGGGGAGCACCACAACGGGUGGAGCCUGCGGUUUAAUUGGACUCAACGCCGGGAAGCUCACCGGAUAAGACAGCGGAAUGAUUGCCGGGCUGAAGACUCUGCAUGACUAGCUG
RNAcentral lists this ribosomal RNA (264 nucleotides) under uncultured archaeon. RNAcentral describes it as "partial 16S ribosomal RNA". It matches the Rfam family "Archaeal small subunit ribosomal RNA", at positions 717 to 982 of the family's 1478-position model. The record is from RNAcentral.